AAAACGACUCUCGGCAACGGAUAUCUCGGCUCUCGCAUCGAUGAAGAACGUAGCGAAAUGCGAUACUUGGUGUGAAUUGCAGAAUCCCGUGAACCAUCGAGUCUUUGAACGCAAGUUGCGCCCCAAGCCAAUAGGCCGAGGGCACGUCUGCCUGGGUGUCACGC
RNAcentral lists this ribosomal RNA (164 nucleotides) under Cristaria multifida. RNAcentral describes it as "5.8S ribosomal RNA". It matches the Rfam family "5.8S ribosomal RNA". Rfam says of the family: 5.8S ribosomal RNA (5.8S rRNA) is a component of the large subunit of the eukaryotic ribosome. It is transcribed by RNA polymerase I as part of the 45S precursor that also contains 18S and 28S rRNA. Lineage: Eukaryota; Viridiplantae; Streptophyta; Magnoliopsida; Malvales; Malvaceae. The record is from RNAcentral.